Molecule: transfer RNA, 85 nt
Filed under: Enterobacteria phage VT2-Sakai
Lineage: Duplodnaviria; Heunggongvirae; Uroviricota; Caudoviricetes
Rfam family: tRNA (bases 10-82)
About the family: Transfer RNA (tRNA) molecules are approximately 80 nucleotides in length. Their secondary structure includes four short double-helical elements and three loops (D, anti-codon, and T loops).
Source: RNAcentral
CCUGCGCCCGGCCCUUUAGCUCAGUGGUGAGAGCGAGCGACUCAUAAUCGCCAGGUCGCUGGUUCAAAUCCAGCAAGGGCCACCA